RNAcentral lists this ribosomal RNA (275 nucleotides) under Candidatus Bathyarchaeota archaeon. RNAcentral's name for it is "partial 16S ribosomal RNA". It matches the Rfam family "Archaeal small subunit ribosomal RNA", at positions 1 to 248 of the family's 1478-position model. Lineage: Archaea; Thermoproteati; Candidatus Bathyarchaeota. The record is from RNAcentral.
GAAUCCGGUUGAUCCUGCCGGACCCCACUGCUAUCGGGAUGAGACUAAGCCAUGCUAGUUGAACGCCUCGAAGCCAAGGUCGGGGCGUAGCGUACGGCUCAGUAACACGUGGCUAACCUACCCUUGGGGCGGGGAUACCCCCGGGAAACUGGGGCUAAUACCCGAUAGAUGAGGAGUCCUGGAACGGUUCCUCGUCCAAAAGGUGUCGCAACCACGCAGGCGACGCUGCCCAAGGAUGGGGCCGCGGCCGAUCAGGUAGUUGGUGAGGUAACGGC